GUCAGAGGUGAAAUCCCAGGGCUCAACCCUGGAACUGCCUUUGAUACUGUCGGUCUUGAGGUCGAGAGAGGUGAGUGGAAUUCCGAGUGUAGAGGUGAAAUUCGUAGAUAUUCGGAGGAACACCAGUGGCGAAGGCGGCUCACUGGCUCGAUACUGA
RNAcentral lists this ribosomal RNA (157 nucleotides) under uncultured bacterium. Its description in RNAcentral is "partial 16S ribosomal RNA". It matches the Rfam family "Bacterial small subunit ribosomal RNA", at positions 587 to 743 of the family's 1533-position model. The record is from RNAcentral.